UGUCUUCACAGGUGUCAUUGGACUUCACUCCGUUCACAGAAGGAGCCAGUGUUAAACGACAGGAUCAUGUCGUGUGAAGUCUACUCUCUCACCUGGAUGCUUGUGCUGUACUCAGAUAUUCUGGCCUCCAGAGUGGAGCAGUCUCCUUCCAUCAUGUCAAUUUCACGGGGGGACUACGAUACAUUCAAAUGCACGCUAAAGAAUACAGAUUGCAGCUUUAUGUACUGGUACAGACAGCGACCAGACCGGGAAAUAGAAGCUUUAUUCUACUCUGCUGCAAAAGGAGCUGUUACAAAUUACACAUCUGAGUCUUAUCAGGCCGAACGACUCAGUGAAACACAAUUUAAUUUGGAAGUGACAAGCGCCUCUACAUCUCAAACGGCUGUGUAUUUCUGUGCGUGUAGCAACGCACAGCGUUUGAGGCCGUGUCUUUGCUGUUACAAAAACUUGCAUCCAACUCCAGGCACGUUCAGGGCUCAUUUUCCACCAGCAGAUGGGGACAGACGAUUGAUGUUCAGGGCGCAAUUUCUGCGACCACGUUCGAAAUCAGAGAAUCGGAAGAGCAGAAGAUGCAAUUCAGCCUUUCUUUCCUUUCCCAGCGCUUUUUAA
Non-coding RNA from Rhincodon typus (whale shark), 609 nucleotides. The record is from the annotation of a RefSeq genome assembly. Lineage: Eukaryota; Metazoa; Chordata; Chondrichthyes; Orectolobiformes; Rhincodontidae.